Molecule: non-coding RNA, 20 nt
Filed under: Arabidopsis thaliana (thale cress)
Lineage: Eukaryota; Viridiplantae; Streptophyta; Magnoliopsida; Brassicales; Brassicaceae
Source: RNAcentral
UUACUUUAGGUGAACUGGUC